Molecule: long non-coding RNA, 635 nt
Organism: Hylaeus anthracinus
Lineage: Eukaryota; Metazoa; Arthropoda; Insecta; Hymenoptera; Colletidae
Exons: 2
Source: RefSeq, a predicted model, not a curated record
UCUAAUAGGAGUAUACUCCGCGCUUACUUGGUGACAACAACUAAACUUCGCCCGAUUUUACAUUUUGGUAUCUGGAAUUUUAGCGAAAUUUAUUUAAAGACAGCAGAGGAAUGAUCGUACUCCUAGUACGGGGAAGGAUAAAUAGUCGUGGUGAUCUUGGACGAUUUAAAACAAUAAUUUAUUUUAUGAAGAACUAUCGUACCGUGUCGCUAAGCCUAGUGGACAAAGUUAUUGCAUCUGCUUCCUUUAAAUAGUUACCGUUUACGGUACAGACAAAUUCUUAAAACGCGUGGAGUAGAUUGACUCCCACGCGGAAUAUACUCUAACAAAUAAAUGUAAUCGUACACGAAGCAAUAAUGUUAACGAUCAACAUUUUGUAAACAGCACUCCUUGCUAUUGUAUAAAAUAACGAUGAUAUUAAGAUGGCCUGGUUCUAGCGGGGCACUAGACGAUGUAUAAGAUGUUGACCUUCACUUUAUUUGUUUUACACGAUGUUUAUGAGACAAUGGUAUUCAACAUUGCGACUUAUACCUACAUUUUCAAAUAGAAUAAAAUAGUAUCGUAACAGAAUGAACGCAUCGUGUAGUGUUCAAAUAUUAACGCGAACAAUAAAAUUAACGGCGAUUUCGAAGAAC